CCAACAGGGAUUGCCCUAGUAACGGCGAGUGAAGCGGCAACAGCUCAAAUUUGAAAUCUGGCUCUUUCAGGGUCCGAGUUGUAAUUUGCAGAGGGCGCUUUGGCUUUGGCAGCGGUCCAAGUUCCUUGGAACAGGACGUCACAGAGGGUGAGAAUCCCGUACGUGGUCGCUAGCUAUUGCCGUGUAAAGCCCCUUCGACGAGUCGAGUUGUUUGGGAAUGCAGCUCUAAAUGGGAGGUAAAUUUCUUCUAAAGCUAAAUACUGGCCAGAGACCGAUAGCGCACAAGUAGAGUGAUCGAAAGAUGAAAAGCACUUUGGAAAGAGAGUCAAACAGCACGUGAAAUUGUUGAAAGGGAAGCGCUUGCAGCCAGACUUGCUUGCAGUUGCUCAUCCGGGCUUUUGCCCGGUGCACUCUUCUGCAGGCAGGCCAGCAUCAGUUUGGGCGGUGGGAUAAAGGUCUCUGUCACGUACCUCUCUUCGGGGAGGCCUUAUAGGGGAGACGACAUACCACCAGCCUGGACUGAGGUCCGCGCAUUCGCUAGGAUGCUGGCGUAAUGGCUGUAAGCGGCCCGUCUUGAAACACGGACCAAGGAGUCUAACAUCUAUGCGAGUGUUUGGGUGUCAAGCCCGAACGCGUAAUGAAAGUGAACGGAGGUGGGAACCCGCAAGGGUGCACCAUCGACCGAUCCUGAUGUCUUCGGAAGGAUUUGAGUAAGAGCAUGGCUGUUGGGACCCGAAAGAUGGUGAACUAUGCUUGAAUAGGGUGAAGCCAGAGGAAACUCUGGUGGAGGCUCGCAGCGGUUCUGACGUGCAAAUCGAUCGUCAAAUUUGGGCAUAGGGGCGAAAGACUAAUCGA
Molecule: ribosomal RNA, 855 nt
Filed under: Pyrenophora chaetomioides
Lineage: Eukaryota; Fungi; Ascomycota; Dothideomycetes; Pleosporales; Pleosporaceae
Also listed under: 1 other name
Description: partial large subunit ribosomal RNA
Rfam family: Eukaryotic large subunit ribosomal RNA
Source: RNAcentral